This 233-nucleotide ribosomal RNA is filed under the name uncultured archaeon. RNAcentral's name for it is "partial 16S ribosomal RNA". It matches the Rfam family "Archaeal small subunit ribosomal RNA", at positions 493 to 725 of the family's 1478-position model. The record is from RNAcentral.
AGUCCAUAUUAUUGGGCCUAAAGCGUCCGUAGCUUGCCGACCAAGUCUAUCGGGAAAUCCACCUGCCCAACAGGUGGGCGUCCGGUAGAAACUGGCCGGCUUGGAACCGGAAGGCUCAGAGAGUACGUCCGGGGUAGGAGUGAAAUCCCGUAAUCCCGGACGGACUACCGAUGGCGAAAGCACUCUGAGAAAACGGAUUCGACAGUGAGGGACGAAAGCUCGGGUCUCAAACC